GAAACUACAAAGGAAGUUAGACGGGGCCCGGCACAAGCGGUGGAGCAUGUGGUUAAUUCGAAGCAACGACGAAGAACCUUACCAGGCCUUGACAUGCAGAGAACUUUCCAGAGAUGGAUUGGUGCCUUCGGGAACUCUGACACAGGUGCUGCAUGGCUGUCGUCAGCUCGUGUCGUGAGAUGUUGGGUUAAGUCCCGCAACGAGCGCAACCCUUGCCUUUAGUUGCCAGCAGUUCGGCUGGGCACUCUAAAGGGGCUGCCGGUGUUAAACCGGAGGAAGGUGGGGAUGACGUCAAGUCCUCAUGGCCUUUAUGACCAGGGCUACACACGUACUACAAUGGCCGAUACAAAGGGCAGCGACACUGCGAGGUGAAGCCAAUCCCGUAAAAUCGGUCUCAGUCCGGAUUGGAGUCUGCAACUCGACUCCAUGAAGUUGGAAUCGCUAGUAAUCGUGGAUCAGCAUGCCACGGUGAAUACGUUCCCGGGCCUU
Molecule: ribosomal RNA, 489 nt
Filed under: uncultured Desulfobulbus sp.
Lineage: Bacteria; Pseudomonadati; Thermodesulfobacteriota; Desulfobulbia; Desulfobulbales; Desulfobulbaceae
Description: bacterial SSU rRNA
Rfam family: Bacterial small subunit ribosomal RNA
Source: RNAcentral